This 2493-nucleotide long non-coding RNA is filed under the name Harpegnathos saltator (Jerdon's jumping ant). RNAcentral describes it as "uncharacterized LOC105184264, transcript variant X1". The record is from RNAcentral. Lineage: Eukaryota; Metazoa; Arthropoda; Insecta; Hymenoptera; Formicidae.
AAAGAACAGACCAUUGGUCUGUUUUUUUUAGCUGCACUACUGAACUGGUGCAAUAAGUUAAAGUGAGAAAAAAUAUAGUUGUCUCAUUCUAACUUAUUGCACUAAUUCCGCAGUGCAGCUAAAAAGAACAGACCACAUAUGUCGCACAUGCCUUACCGGAUUAUUUUUCAAAGUGAUAUAAAAAGAACGAAACUGUGUACAAAGAGGAUACAGAGCAAAGUUGCUCGGUUCAGAUUGACAUCAGAUUGGCGAAAGGAUCUGUGAAAUUGAUGCAGGACCUGCCGAUAGAUUCAUAGACAUCUGCAUCCCCAGACUGCUGUUGCCUUUCUGUUGACAGUUUAAUACAAUGAUUGACAAAUGACAAUACAAAUAAUAUAUUUCCAAAAUUGCACAGAAAAUUUAACAGCCCAAUUAACAUUAAUUUCAAAUACGAUAAAUUACCUUUCUACAAGUGUACAAAUUCAAUUCGUGAAGUAUACAGCAUGAGUGGGCUAAAUUCACCAGAAAAUAAUAUAAACAAUAAAGAAAAUUUAGAAAAGCAAUCGAUAGAUUCAGAGCACACAUCUUGUUGUGAAAAAUGUCGGCGAGGAUAUUCUUCAAAAUUUAUGACACUUGAACGUAAACUCAACCGGAUUAUUCAUUUACUGGAAAAUUCGAAAGAAGUACAACAUAAUGUAUUAGGUUGUUGCAGAUGAAAUGGCCGUUUUUCAAAAUUCAAAUUUCUCGGCUGAGUAGUUCAGCUCUUUUCAUGCAGCUGUCGUUGCAUGCGUGAUAUUUGAAAAGUAUAUGCUCCACACGUAAAUUCGCACGCAUAACCUUACUUUUAUCACAUUGUUUAUAUCGUUGAAAAUUGCUGUCUCUUCGACAUGGAAAGUAAGGAAAUGCGGAUAAUAUUCUUGUACGAAUACAAACUUGGUCAUUGUGCGGCCGAGGCAACGCGAAACAUAAACGCUGCUUUUGGGGAAGGUUCUGUAAGUGAUCGAACCAUUAGACGUUGGUUUGAAAAGUUUCGGUCUGGUGAUACAAAUUCGACAAUUUGCCUCGCAGCCAUGCACCAUUAGUGAUUGAUGACAAUGUUUUGAAAGACAUGGUUGAAGCAGACUCGCGUUUAUCAGUUCGAGAUAUUGCACACAGCAUCAACGUUCACUAUUCCACUGUUUCCCGACACCUAAAGGCCAUGGGGAAAAUGAAAAAGCUUGACAAAUGGGUACCACAUGAACUGACUGAGAGAGACAAGCUUCGCCGUAUGAAAAUCAGCUCAUCUUUGCUCUCCCGACACAAUAAUGAAGGAAUAUUGAAUCGAAUAGUAAUGUGUGAUGAAAAGUGGGUUCUUUAUGACAAUCGUCGACGUUCUACCCAGUGGUUAGAUGAUGAUCAAGCUCCGAAACACAUGUCAAAACCGAGCCUUCAUCCACGUAAAGUUAUGGUGGUAUCUGUAUGGUGAUCUGCCAAGGGUAUUAUGCAUUUUUCGUUUUUAAAAAAAGGUGAAACUAUAAAUGCUGACAAAUAUUGCCAAGAAAUUGACAUUGUGAUGAAAAAACUGCAUAUUGAACAACCGGCGUUAUUAAAUAGACGCGGUAUGUUAUUGCUCCAUGAUAAUGCAAGACCGCAUAUUGAAAAAGAAAACUGUAAAAACAUUAACAGAAUACAAAUGCGAAGUUCUCCCUCACCCUCCUUAUUCUCCUGAUCUUUCUCCAACUGAUUACCAUUUGUUUAAGCAUCUGGAUAACUUUUUAAGUGAAAAGGUAUUCCAAACAGAAAGCGACGUGAAAAAUGCGUUCAACGAAUUUCUUGCAUCUUGCUCUUCUAAUUUCUACGUGAAAGGCAUUGAUGCGCUUGUAUCACGUUGGGGGAAGUGUAUUGAGGUGGAGGGAAACUAUUUCGAUUAACGAGAUGUAUAUAAAGUGUAUCGAAUAAAAAUUUAAAUUAAAAAUUAAAAAAUGGCCAUUUCAUCUACAACAACCUAAUACAGCGACAGAUUGAUUUUUCUUUAUUACCGAAUUUUCCUCUCACUACAGUGGAAGAAGUAAAAAAUUUCAAUAACCUUUUGAAGGAUGAUAACGUUCGGCGACAAUUUAUGGAGAAAAUGUCACUAUAGGCGGAGAAACUGUAGCCAAUAAUGUAAGACAUAUGUCGCAAACUAUUGGCUACGAAGUUGUGCAGGCAUACGUGGACAGGACAAAAAAAGUUAUCUUUAAAAAAAUCAAAAUUUUCGGAGUCAAUAAUUGGUAUUAAAUAUUGCUCAAUAUUACCAGACAGCACCAAUGUCCAAAAGCGGGACAUUAAAGGCGUCUUAUGUCCCAGUUUCAGACAUUGUGCUGUCUGGAAUUUUUUGCCAUUAUGUUCUUUGUCGUAGAACUGUAUUAAUGACUCCUGCUCACAGGACGCGGCAACACUUGCCGCGCGGCGGAAGUUCGUGCGAUAGCCAAACAAUGUGCUACUUUCCGUAAUAACUUUCUAGCUCUUACGGAAAAGCGGCACGUUGAGUGGCUA